Molecule: unclassified non-coding RNA, 358 nt
Filed under: soil metagenome
Description: partial contains 5.8S ribosomal RNA, internal transcribed spacer 2, and large subunit ribosomal RNA
Rfam family: 5.8S ribosomal RNA (bases 1-120)
Source: RNAcentral
GAUGAAGAACGUAGCGAAAUGCGAUAAGUAAUGUGAAUUGCAGAAUUCAGUGAAUCAUCGAAUCUUUGAACGCACAUUGCGCCCGUCAGAAUUCUGGCGGGCAUGCCUGUUCGAGCGUCAUUACGCCCCUCAAGUCCCCUGUGGACUUGGUGUUGGGGAUCGGCGAGGCUGGUUUUCCAGCACAGCCGUCCCUUAAAUUAAUUGGCGGUCUCGCCGUGGCCCUCCUCUGCGCAGUAGUAAAACACUCGCAACAGGAGCCCGGCGCGGUCCACUGCCGUAAAACCCCCCAACUUUUUAUAGUUGACCUCGAAUCAGGUAGGACUACCCGCUGAACUUAAGCAUAUCAAUAAGCGGAGGA